AGUGCUAGUUUAGUGCCAACCAGUCCCCACCUUCUCGGGCCUCCUCCCACUGGUUCCUCCCCUUUCAGCUGCUCUGGUUCAUAUAAAAACUCCACAGCCUUUCACUCACGGCCUGAAGGAGCCUCCCUCCCCACUGCUGCCGCACAAGACAGUGAGAACGACCCACAGGACCACAGAGAGACAUGAAGAGCCUGCUCCUUCUCUCAAUUCUGGCUGCCUUGGCCAUGGCAGCUUUAUGUUAUGGUGAGAAUCCUUUCUCCUGGCAUUUCUCCAGUUUUUCUUUGCUGCCUCUGACUUCAGUUCACUUUGAUUUUUCCUCCACCUCCUCCACUUCUUCUCUCUUUCUCUAUUAUAAUCUUAAAGUACCAUCAAUUUAACCUUUCCCAAGCCCCAUGGACAUUCAUCCAUUCCAUCAAGUUUUUUUUGCAUCUUAAAUAUCCAGAUUCCUGUAUUCAACUUAUUAGGCAAGUUCUUUCUAUGAAUCUCACGAAAGCUUGGAAUCCUAUGAACUUAAUCCCUUCCUUAACAGGAGAAAUGCUAAUACCUUUAUGACUCCGCAGCAGAGAUGGAGAGCUAGAGCCCAAGAAAGGAUCCGAGAAAGCACCAAGCCUGCCCAUGAGCUCAACCGGGAAGCCUGUGAGGACUUCAAACUUUGCGAACGCUAUGCUAUGGUUUACGGAUACGAUGCUGCCUACAAUCGCUAUUUCCGGCAGCGCCGAUGGGAAAAAUGAGAUUGGGAAACGUCUCUUUCUUUCCAGAGCCUGGUGCCUGGUUUUGUAUUCCCUUGCAGUAGCAUCACUGAACUAUAUAGACACACACAAAUUGCUUGUUUCUUAAAUGUUCUCGUCUGGCUGCACCCGUCCUUCCUGCCCGCAUUGAUGAGUAGUGAAAGUGCAGUGUAGUGAAGGUUGAAGGGGAGUUAAGAUGUGUAAUUACUACACAAUAAACUUCUGGUUGGAUCCUUUCAUUUUGUGAGUCUGAUUCUUCUGGGAAAAUGCUGAGAUGUUUAAAUCACAGCCAUCUAACCCAGAAUAGGAGAUUCUGUCAGUCAUGUUCUAGUGUCAAUCAGAAGCAAAACUAUAUAGGAAUAAUGAACUUUAGAAGACAUUCACCCAGCCCUAAUUUGUCUAGACUCUCUCUGCCUUGGUAUCAGUAAAUGAUUGCUUUCUAUUAUGUGUUUUCCAGGAUUUUCAAACAUCAUAGACACUUAACCAUUUUAUUUUCCUGCUCCCAAACUUUAAAUGGCUCCUAAAUUCCUUCCGUGUGUGACUCUGUAUCCUGGCUCAUCACCCUCAUGUGAAAGUUAUCAGUUCCUAAGAUGCUACACUUUCCACUCUUACUUGUACAGAGAAAAUAUUUGCUUUCAUAAUCACCAGUGAUGUUAAAAUGACACAUCCGUGGAAUUUUGGAGCCAGACAUGAUGCUAGAGGUCCUUUAGGCCUGAUUUGCUGAGGAGUAAAUGAGGCUCCGAAGUCUUCCCUCCUUGGUUGUUAAGAAUAGAAGCCAGCACUUCUCAGUGUCAAUUCAGACUUUGUUCUUUUCUGCCAUGUACACUUGUCAAGCCCACCUUUUACAUCCAUUCCUUCUGGUAGGUCCACUGUAUAUCUCUUUAGUGGAGUGUCUUUCCACUCCUUCAAAAUCCUACUCAAAACUCAAGUACUUUAUGAAAUCAGUAAUGAUUAAAACUACUCACCUUGUAUCAGUAUUCAGCCUUUUGAGAAUGAUGUAAAGAACUAAGUACGAUAUUAUUCAGUUCGUGUUUUGAUUAAAGUUUAUUUUCAUGUAUAUUUGGCUUGUCUAGCAUUAUGGUAAAUUCUUUGAGAGCAGGCACUGUAACUGCAAUUUUUCCUCUCUAUAACCUUAGUACCAUGUUCUGUUCACAAAGAGUAUUCUGUGAAAGCUGAAUGAACAACAGACUGCCUAGUCAUGCCUGGGAGUGAUCACCGAAUUCUGAAACGGUUAGAUUCAUCAUAAAAAUGUGUGUUGUAUAUUUUAAACCAUGAUCAUGUUAAUAUGAUGGUGAGAUUUGUAUAAUUUUCUGAGCUCUUUUGCAUGCAGUAACUCAUUAGAUAAUACAACAACCCAGAAGAUGGGUAAUAUUUAGAUGGUAAAAUUGAGACUCAGAGAAAUAACUUUCUGAAGAUGUUGCAGUAGAUGCAGGGGUAUGCCACUCAGACUGAGAAAUUAUUCCCAUGGCCACCAGGGUAUUGGGAGCUGAUGGUUUCCAGCUCAGAACUUGAGUACAUCUCUCUACAGAUCUCUAGAGCACUCUUUGUGAGCAUCUCUCUCCUCUCUGGUUCUCUUUCCUCUGAUUACUAACCACCUCUCUGGACUCCCAGCUGCGUCUCCUCAAUUGAGGAGAGCCAUAAAAGCUCUGUCAGGGUUCCAUUUUCCUUCCCAUGGCCUGAAAAGUCUCCAGGAAGUAAGUUGGGACAAUUAAAGGGCUCACUUUAUUUGUCUCCCAUCUCUCAUGCAUCACUGUCAAGCAAUUCAAAAGAAGAUAAAAGGAAAACAAAAAGAGGAAAAGGGGAAAAAACUCAGAAGAGAUAAAUUGAAAACAAGUGGCAAGGUGAUAGACUUAAACCUAUCUCAAUAAUCUCAUUAUAUGUAAAUAGUAUAAACGGUCCAAUUAUUUUUUUACUUCUACACAUGUUAUAGAUCCUACAGUAUGUUGUUUAAUAUUUUUCUUGAACAAUUAUUUUUUAAAAGGUUUAGAUAAUACAAAAAAUAUCUCAUACGUCUACCCAUGUAGUUUCCAUUUUGAUGUUCUUCAUUCUUUUGUGUGCAUCCAGAUUUCCAUCUGGUGUAAUUUUCCUUUGGC
RNAcentral lists this long non-coding RNA (2821 nucleotides) under Equus caballus (horse). RNAcentral's name for it is "matrix Gla protein (ENSECAG00000010721.3)". Lineage: Eukaryota; Metazoa; Chordata; Mammalia; Perissodactyla; Equidae. The record is from RNAcentral.